This 228-nucleotide long non-coding RNA is filed under the name Helianthus annuus (common sunflower). RNAcentral describes it as "sRNA HanXRQr2_Chr04g0149361". The record is from RNAcentral. Lineage: Eukaryota; Viridiplantae; Streptophyta; Magnoliopsida; Asterales; Asteraceae.
GGACCAAAAUGCCCUUGUUGGCUAAAUUGAACAAACAACCCUUAGAGUCUUGCCGUAAAAUAAUAAUCCGAAGGGUAAAACUCGGAACAUAUAGAUAUCCACAUUAAAUCCAACACACAUAGAGUUUUAGUUGAAGAUUACUUGAUAAGAAAUGUAGGAAUAAGAUGCUAGAAAUGAAUGAAAGCGAUUUCAAGCUUUAAAGUGCUUAAAUACCCUUAACGGGUCAAA